GAGAUGUUAGUAAAAUAUUACACCUCCUUGUCAAGGUGGAGUUGUUGGUUAAACUCCAGCACAUCUCA
This 68-nucleotide transfer RNA is filed under the name Xenopus amieti (volcano clawed frog). Its description in RNAcentral is "tRNA-Asp". It matches the Rfam family "tRNA". Rfam says of the family: Transfer RNA (tRNA) molecules are approximately 80 nucleotides in length. Their secondary structure includes four short double-helical elements and three loops (D, anti-codon, and T loops). Further hydrogen bonds mediate the characteristic L-shaped molecular structure. tRNAs have two regions of fundamental functional importance: the anti-codon, which is responsible for specific mRNA codon recognition, and the 3' end, to which the tRNAs corresponding amino acid is attached (by aminoacyl-tRNA synthetases). tRNAs cope with the degeneracy of the genetic code in two manners: having more than one tRNA (with a specific anti-codon) for a particular amino acid; and 'wobble' base-pairing, i.e. permitting non-standard base-pairing at the 3rd anti-codon position. Lineage: Eukaryota; Metazoa; Chordata; Amphibia; Anura; Pipidae. RNAcentral also lists the same sequence under 1 other name. The record is from RNAcentral.